GCCUACGGGGGGCAGCAGUGGGGAAUAUUGCACAAUGGGCGAAAGCCUGAUGCAGCGACGCCGCGUGAAGGAUGAAGUAUUUCGGUAUGUAAACUUCUAUCAGCAGGGAAGAAAAUGACGGUACCUGACUAAGAAGCCCCGGCUAACUACGUGCCAGCAGCCGCGGUAAUACGUAGGGGGCAAGCGUUAUCCGGAUUUACUGGGUGUAAAGGGAGCGUAGACGGCGAUGCAAGCCAGAUGUGAAAGCCCGGGGCUCAACCCCGGGACUGCAUUUGGAACUGUGUGGCUGGAG
RNAcentral lists this ribosomal RNA (292 nucleotides) under uncultured bacterium. RNAcentral's name for it is "partial 16S ribosomal RNA". It matches the Rfam family "Bacterial small subunit ribosomal RNA", at positions 337 to 646 of the family's 1533-position model. The record is from RNAcentral.